CAAGUGUUCUCUCCCCGUCUCACUAAACAGCAACCAAAAUAGCCCUGUCAGUUCGAAUAGUCAGAGUUUGGUGGUGAAACGAAGUGAGUGCUUCAGUUAACUGAAUUAGAAACCUCUGGUUAGCAUUUUUAAAUAAUAUUUAAAUAAAUCAGGGUUAACAUAUGAAGUGCGCCGUGGGUACUUAACUUGGAUAAACUGGAAUCUGCCAAACCAUCUCGAUUAAUCUGUAUUUAUAUACAGUUAAUCAGGUAAAUACAGUUUGGAAAAGGUUUGUCUUCAGCCAGCUUCUUAAAAAUAUUGGAGUUUACUUCUUACCGACACAGCAACUGCUCCUGCCGCAAGAGCCAGCCUUUGGAUACCCCCUCGGUUUCCUCAGUCACCGCGGAACAGACACAUUACCACGUACUGUAUGUCAUCAGCUGUUUGCCCCUAUUGCAUUUCAAGCCUGAAGUAAAAUCAGAAGAUGACCUAAGAUAUUUCCAUAAUUAUUUUCUUUUAUCACCCCUGAUUCCUCUUCUUCAGUGUUAGACCUGUCACGACCCAUGUGGGUGACAUACAUCGUCCGUCCAUGAGCGGAACGCUAAAUAUCCUGUUACAAUUCCUGGAGGAUGUAUACUCCUUAGUGUGGAUUUCAGAGGCCCUUUACAAGAAAUAUCUAGAAGUCUGAUACCAUGAAGAGGUUCCUGAAUUUACAGAUUGCAACAGACACUUGGUUUAAGGAGUGAGCAAAGCAGAUGUCUGUCUGUCUGUCUGAGAAGUACAUCAUGGUAAGGAAACAAAUGGCAAAUGUAAGAUUUAUUGUUUACCAGCAGUAGCUUUUGGCAGGAGGAAUGAAUCUAUUUACAAUAACAAAUUAAAGGAGCUGUACUGGGUCAGACUCAGCUUACAGCCAGUUUCCAGCAGCUGUCAGUAGGAGAUAUCUGAACAAGAAUGGACAAUAAGAAUAUGAUAAACGCAAUUAAAGCUCCCCCCAAACAACCACCAGGCUAAAACUAUUCCUUUUGUUCAGAGGCCCUUGAUGUGUCUCCUUUGCAUAUUUUUCUAAGAGCUUUUAACCCAUGUAGAUUUUUGAUACCCUGCAAUACCCCCAGUAUUGUGAAGCAGAGAAAAGAUUUCCCUCGUGUCCUCUUCAUACAUGUAUUGAUUUUAUAGCUUUCUGCAGUAAUUGUCUCCCUUGGCUGAGAAACCGACAGUAUUCAGUCACUCCUGCUAUAAGCACAAUCCCUGCUCGCCCUUCUCUGUAUCUUUUCUAAUACCUCUUUUUUAGAAAUUAGAGGACAAGAAGUGAAUUAGAAAUACAGAUUACUUAAACUGCAUGUGCCCGUGGACUUCCACAGGGGACAGUGAUGCUUUCUGCUUUCUUUGUGAACCCUGAGAAUUCCCAGCGUCUGCUCACGCUGUCACCUGAGCAGUGAGUAAUGUUUUCAUGGAC
RNAcentral lists this long non-coding RNA (1432 nucleotides) under Calidris pugnax (ruff). RNAcentral describes it as "lncRNA (ENSCPUG00000008464.1)". Lineage: Eukaryota; Metazoa; Chordata; Aves; Charadriiformes; Scolopacidae. The record is from RNAcentral.